RNAcentral lists this ribosomal RNA (365 nucleotides) under uncultured fungus. RNAcentral describes it as "eukaryotic LSU rRNA". It matches the Rfam family "Eukaryotic large subunit ribosomal RNA", at positions 40 to 398 of the family's 3401-position model. The record is from RNAcentral. Lineage: Eukaryota; Fungi.
AUAUCAAUAAGCGGAGGAAAAGAAACUAACAAGGAUUCCCCUAGUAACUGCGAGUGAAGCGGGAAAAGCUCAAAUUUAAAAUCUGGCGGUCUUUGGCCGUCCGAGUUGUAGUCUGGAGAAGUGCUUUCCGCGCUGGACCGUGUAUAAGUCUCUUGGAACAGAGCGUCAUAGAGGGUGAGAAUCCCGUCUUUGACACGGACUACCAGUGCUUUGUGAUGCGCUCUCAAAGAGUCGAGUUGUUUGGGAAUGCAGCUCAAAAUGGGUGGUGAAUUCCAUCUAAAGCUAAAUAUUGGCGAGAGACCGAUAGCGAACAAGUACCGUGAGGGAAAGAUGAAAAGCACUUUGGAAAGAGAGUUAAACAGUAC